GAUUAUGGCUCAGGAUGAACGCUAGCGGCAGGCUUAACACAUGCAAGUCGAGGGGCAUCGGGAGUAGCAAUACGUUGACCGGCGACCGGCGCAAGGGUGCGUAACGCGUGAGCAACAUGCCCGUAUCAGGGGGAUAAGUCCAUGGAAACGUGGUCUAAGUACCCCAUAGUAAUUAUGUAAGGCAUCUUAUAUAAUUUAAAGCUUUGGUGGAUACGGAUUGGCUCGCGUGACAUUAGCUGGAUGGUAAGGUAACGGCUUACCAUGGCUACGAUGUCUAGGGGUUCUGAGAGGAAGGUCCCCCACACUGGAACUGAGACACGGUCCAGACUCCUACGGGAGGCAGCAGUGAGGAAUAUUGGACAAUGGAUGGAAAUCUGAUCCAGCCAUGCCGCGUGACCAGGAAGACGGCCCUAUGGGUUGUAAACUGCUUUUGUAUGGGAGCAAUAAGGGCUACGUGUAGUCCGAUGAGAGUACCAUACGAAUAAGCACCGGCUAACUCCGUGCCAGCCGCCGC
Molecule: ribosomal RNA, 514 nt
Filed under: uncultured bacterium
Lineage: Bacteria
Description: bacterial SSU rRNA
Rfam family: Bacterial small subunit ribosomal RNA
Source: RNAcentral